This 1307-nucleotide long non-coding RNA is filed under the name Elaeis guineensis (African oil palm). Its description in RNAcentral is "long non-coding RNA (EGUI_LNC073756)". The record is from RNAcentral. Lineage: Eukaryota; Viridiplantae; Streptophyta; Magnoliopsida; Arecales; Arecaceae.
CCCCCCUCCCUCCGCCCGCCCCCCCCCCCACGAUCACCCGCGGGUACGCUAUGGUAAUUUCACCCUCUCGGCCAUCUUUCACCACGAACCUCAUAUCUCCGGUUGGGUGUUGAGGGAGAAUGGAGACGAGCGACAGCGUGAAGCUCCGAGGUUUCCGGCGCCCACACCGUGCUUGGGGUUUUCCAGGGCCACCCCCACGGUCUCUCCGAGAAGGGUUACCGGGAGGUGACCUUCUACAUGCACGGCGCCGACCGGUCCUCCGGCCGAGAUUUAGGACGUGGUCGCCGUCUGCAAGUGGGUUUUCGAGACCCUGUCCCCCAAUGGGUUCAUCUUGGUUGGUUCCUCCGUCGGUAGCCUGGUAUACUCUCUCUCUCUCUCUCUCAAAAUCUUGGUGAGAGUUUGCGUUGGUUUGAGAUUCAAAUUUUCAAGGUGUUUCUCUUGCCUUAUUUUAUGCCUAGAGAGUUAUGAAUUGGGUCUAGAUUUCAUAUUGAGACACUGUUCAUGCGGUUGCGUUUUAUGGGCUGUUAGCUUGGGAUCAUUGGGAUACUUAUUUUUGGCCCCACGUUUUUUAGUUCUUGGAUUUGUGAUCUUUGGCUUGUGGUUUCUUUUGUGUACUUUUUUUUUUUUUCCUUUGGAUUGCUUGGUUGAUUGGUUUGUGUGAUGGAAUUCUGGGUUUGAGAGAGAGACUGAUUGCUUGAUGAGAUGGGAUUUUCAGUGAUUUUGAGGUUGUGUUUUAUGAUGGAUAUAGAAGAAAUUGGCCAAAUGUAACUGUUUGUGAUACUGAAGUUAAGUCUUUGCUGAAAAGAAUAUGUGCUAUGCUUUCAUUUAGGUUGUAUAGUUCGGUAUCAGAUCAAGCGUUCUUUUACUUGUGUAUCGAGUAAUUUAUGUUUGUGUUUCCACAUUUGAUGAUUGUUUACUGUUUUUUUUUAUGCCAAAUAGUGUUUUCAUAUCAGGGGGGUACCAUGGCUUUGUUUACUUAUUUUGUUCAGUUUUAGAGGCUUGGGGGUUCAACGUCUAAAUGACGAAUAGGUUGCAAGCUAGCACCAUCUAAGUUAUUCCUCUGAUAUCAGUCAUGCUAUUGGUUGCUCAGACAUGCAACUCUCUCUCCCUUUUUUUUUUUUUUUGAAUGGAAAGACAUGCAACUUGUUAAAUUAGUUUUAUGGAUUAAACAUAAAUGCAUUCGGAUAAGGGGUCUAGUCCCAUGAAAUAGGAGACAAGUGCUUGUCAAGUUUCUGUUAUUAUAUUUUACUAAAUGCUAUAAAAGACGGAUAUGAAAUGGAAAAAACUAGAGAUAAAGCAAACUGGAA